RNAcentral lists this long non-coding RNA (2795 nucleotides) under Homo sapiens (human). RNAcentral describes it as "non-protein coding lnc-REL-6:2". Lineage: Eukaryota; Metazoa; Chordata; Mammalia; Primates; Hominidae. The record is from RNAcentral.
GCCGCCUAAUCUUCUCAUUAGCAUUAACUAGUUAUUGCCCAGCUUUGGAGAGCCUUCUUUUGGCUUAUCAUUUAUUAUAAGCCCAGAAAUAGGUGACUAAUCAGAGAUAAAUGUAUGGGUUGUCUGUAUCUAGUUUUAUGCCUUUUUUUUGCCUAAGACGUAGUCAAAUUAAUAUUUUAACUAAUACAUCUUAGCAGAGUUUAGUUAAGCACAAAGUUAACAGUGGGUAGGAUUGAAUCUUGAAAGUAAUCAUGUCUGUAAUGUUUUUCAUGCAUGCAAAAAGCACAGACAAAACCACUCAUGCCCUAUUAAUAAACAAAAUACAGAUCAAAGUUUUCAAAAGUAAUCACUCUAUUUAUUCUAAAUGUCUGUGGCUUUAGGAAAAUACCACCAGCUAGUACUUACCUAUUUAAAGAUGUAGAAUUUAUUAUCCUCUAAUAUUCUUAUCAGUUGUUUCCACAACUUUAGUUUACUAUUGGACUUUCAAAAAUUUAAAGAAUUACAAGUAAAAUUCAUUAAACACUUGUGUGUGAAUAGUAAUACACAGUAAUUAGUACAGCAUGUUGCUUCUUCAACAAAUUGAGUUUUCAGGGAAAUCAGCAAGUAAAUGAAAUAUAAAUUUUUGGUAAAAGUAUCAAACAUUCAUCUUGCCCAUUUUUCCUCUUAAACUUUAUUAUCUAAUCAAACAUAGUUUUCCAUAAGAUGUAAUAAAAUAUAGAUAAGGUUGGAAUAUUUGAGGAUCCAUUUGUGGAACUGAAUUUAAUGAGACUUCAUUGGUGAUACACUCAAUUUUUACUGGGUAAUUAGCUAAUAAUGUUGGUCACUGUCUCACAGUUCAAGUAGCUUUAAGAUGAUGUGGCAAGGAAAACACAAAGCUUUUGGGUAACCAGCGUUCUUAAAUGUAUGGUUUUUGACCAGGUGAACCCUUUAGAAGUGAUUUCUGUUUUAAAAGUAUGUACUUAAAAUACCUUUGGCUGUGAUGAAUGUAGAUCCCAGCAGAAUACCAAAAUCCUAUUUUUUUUGACUGAGUAUUUGUAGAUGCUUAAUGACUGAAAUGAAUUUGGAGGCACUGAUGAAAGUGAUUUUUUUAAAGUUCUCAGGUACUGUUCAAUUAUUUAAUGUUAAGUUUAGUAUCAAGAUACAGUUGUUUUUAAAAUGCCAAAAUGCUGUUUAUUAUACAGAAUAUUUUAUUACAUUUGCAAUAUCUUUGUAUAUAGUGAUUUUUUUUUUUUUUGAGACUGAGUCUCGCUCUCUCACCAGGCUGGAGUGCAGUGGCGCGAUCUCUGCUCACUGCAACCUCUGUCUUCUGGGUUCAAGUGAUUCUCUUGCCUCAGCCUCCCAAGUAGCUGGGACUACAGGCACGUGCCACAAUGCCCAGCUAAUUUUUGUAUUUUUAGUAGAGACGGGGUUUCAACAUGUUGGACAGGAUGGUUUUGAUCUCUUGACCUCGUGAUCUGCCUGCCUCGGCCUCCCAAUGUGCUGGGAUUACUGAUGUGAUCUCCUUUUUUUUUCAAGGCUUAACAUGUAAUUUAACAAGUUGAUGCUGCAUUGCUGCUCCAUUUCUCAGAAAAACUUCAAAUUUAAAGUAUCAGCAACAAAUCAAACAUAGUACAUCAAUUAAAUAUGCACAGCAUAACUACUAUCUAAGAUAGGCAAGGCUAAGAGCUACUCUCAGACCUUCAGCAUACAGCAACUCUGUUUCCAAGAUUGUACUAGGCCUAUCAAGAAAAGUUGUGAACAGCAACAUCAUAGACACAAAACGUGCUGCUUCUCCAUCUCAAUGAGUACCCUCUAGUGCAUGGCAUACUUAUAUUCAAAAGCCAUGCUGUGCACACUGGGGUGGCUGUUCUCACUCCUUGUGAAAUUGCUGGUUCUUUACAACCAGCUUCUCUGGAAGUCCUUCUUUGUCACCUAAUUAGCCUAUGGGCUACACAGUUUUUUCCUUUUUGUUAAUUUAUUUAAACUCUCUUUCUGUGAAAUUGCCUUCCCAUAUUUCUCACAGUUUCCUCAUUUCCUCCUCAGUGAUGUCAGAAGGAACACUGCCCACAAAGAAAUAUUUGGCCUCGUUUGGUGAAGGGCUUCUUUCCUGGGCUGCAGUGUGGAGCCUGAGGAGAAUGUCUGAGGGCAGCAGGGAGGGGACUGUGAAUUGAGGCAGCAAUAGAUUGGUUAUUUUUGAGGUUAUUUUUUCUUUCUUUUGUGUGUGUGUGUGUGUGUGUGUGUGUGCCAAAGAUUUACUUGUUCAUUUCUUGCAUUUGAAGUACUCUUCAAUGACAUCCUUGGCCUGAGACUCCUUGCCAUAGUUCGUAACUACUAUACAACUUCAACCAACCACUUUACACGGUUUCCCCUCUCUGUCAGUUUUACAGAGGCCUACCGAUUCCCCUAGUUUCUGGUCAUCAACCUUAAUUAGGUUGAUUUGGUGUUCAGCACAAAGGGCCUCCACCAACUUGACAUACAUAGGCUCAUCACAGUUGGAUGCAAGCACACACAGCACACAAAGAUGGGCUUGGCACUUGUCUGAGGCUUUGGCAGCUUUGCAAAUUUCAUAUGCUAGGCCAUCAUGGAUGAGGGCGGUCUUCAGCACCUCCUGUAAAACAGUAUUAAUGUCCAUUACACCUCCAGCAGCACUGCCUUCCUCGGCCAUGGCAGUGGGUUACGAGUGAAGCCGGAUCUUGAAUGCACCCGAGACUCCGCCUCUAUACAAUUCAGUGGCAGCAGGGAAAGAGCGUAAGUUUGGAAUUAUUUCAAAAUUUAAAAAUUCAAAAUAGAAUCAUAAAAGUAAUAUUUUUCAUAAU